UACGUAGGUGACAAGCGUUGUCCGGAUUUACUGGGCGUAAAGAGCGCGCAGGCGGUCGAUCAAGUCGAGUGUGAAAGCCCCCGGCUCAACUGGGGAGGGUCAUUUGAUACUGAUCGACUCGAAGGCAGGAGAGGGUAGUGGAAUUCCCGGUGUAGUGGUGAAAUGCGUAGAUAUCGGGAGGAACACCAGUGGCGAAGGCGACUACCUGGCCUGUUCUUGACGCUGAGGCGCGAAAGCUAGGGGAGCAAACGGG
Molecule: ribosomal RNA, 253 nt
Filed under: uncultured bacterium
Lineage: Bacteria
Description: partial 16S ribosomal RNA
Rfam family: Bacterial small subunit ribosomal RNA
Source: RNAcentral